RNAcentral lists this unclassified non-coding RNA (363 nucleotides) under Basidiomycota sp. RNAcentral's name for it is "partial contains small subunit ribosomal RNA, internal transcribed spacer 1, and 5.8S ribosomal RNA". The stretch from base 1 to 47 matches the Rfam family "Eukaryotic small subunit ribosomal RNA", at positions 1785 to 1831 of the family's 1831-position model. Lineage: Eukaryota; Fungi; Basidiomycota. The record is from RNAcentral.
AAAGUCGUAACAAGGUUUCCGUAGGUGAACCUGCGGAAGGAUCAUUAACACGUCUAACAACGUUUUUCUGAUGAAAACCCCUCUGUGAACCUUUAUUAAGUCCUGGUGCUUCUCUUCAUUGAGUUGCAUCGGGCAAACCUCACAAACUUCAAAUCCUGCAGAGAUUCACGUCUCCUCAGGUCGUUGCGAAGUGUGUGUUCACAACACACGCCGAGUAGCGUUAACCCAAACAAAACCCUUAAACCUUACUGCUCUGAAAAAUCCUAACUCUGGUCAGCCUCUCUCUCACGCUUGCGUGUGUUGGGGUUUCCCAAGUUAACCAAAACAAAAAAACAACUCUUAACAACGGAUAUCUUGGUUCUC